CUACGGGCGGCUGCAGUGGGGAAUAUUGCACAAUGGAGGAAACUCUGAUGCAGCAACGCCGCGUGGAGGAUGACACUUUUCGGAGCGUAAACUCCUUUUAUAUAGGAAGAAGAUGACGGUACUAUAUGAAUAAGCGCCGGCUAACUCCGUGCCAGCAGCCGCGGUAAUACGGAGGGUGCAAGCGUUACUCGGAAUCACUGGGCGUAAAGAGCGUGUAGGCGGAUUAAAAAGUCAGAAGUGAAAUCCUAUAGCUUAACUAUAGAACUGCUUCUGAAACUCUUAAUCUAGAAUAUGGGAGAGGUAGAUGGAAUUUCUGGUGUAGGGGUAAAAUCCGUAGAGAUCAGAAGGAAUACCGAUUGCGAAGGCGAUCUACUAGAACAUUAUUGACGCUGAGACGCGAAAGCGUGGGGAGCAAACAGGAUUAGAUACCCGUGUAGUC
RNAcentral lists this ribosomal RNA (439 nucleotides) under uncultured bacterium. Its description in RNAcentral is "partial 16S ribosomal RNA". It matches the Rfam family "Bacterial small subunit ribosomal RNA", at positions 339 to 795 of the family's 1533-position model. The record is from RNAcentral.